RNAcentral lists this ribosomal RNA (391 nucleotides) under uncultured bacterium. RNAcentral's name for it is "bacterial SSU rRNA". It matches the Rfam family "Bacterial small subunit ribosomal RNA", at positions 28 to 424 of the family's 1533-position model. The record is from RNAcentral.
GACGAACGCUGGCGGCGUGCUUAACACAUGCAAGUCGAGCGGUAAGGCCCUUUCGGGGGUACACGAGCGGCGAACGGGUGAGUAACACGUGGGUGACCUGCCCUCAGCUCUGGGAUAAGCCUGGGAAACUGGGUCUAAUACUGGAUAUGACUCCACGGUGCAUGUCGUGGGGUGGAAAGCCUUGUGCGGCUGAGGAUGGGCCCGCGGCCUAUCAGCUUGUUGGUGGGGUGAGGCCUACCAAGGCGACGACGGGUAGCCGGCCUGAGAGGGCGACCGGCCACACUGGGACUGAGACACGGCCCAGACUCCUACGGGAGGCAGCAGUGGGGAAUCUUGCGCAAUGGGCGAAAGCCUGACGCAGCGACGCCGCGUGAGGGAUGACGGCCUGGUU